RNAcentral lists this ribosomal RNA (351 nucleotides) under uncultured bacterium. RNAcentral's name for it is "bacterial SSU rRNA". It matches the Rfam family "Bacterial small subunit ribosomal RNA", at positions 8 to 350 of the family's 1533-position model. The record is from RNAcentral.
AGAGUUUGAUCAUGGCUCAGAUUGAACGCUGGCGGCGUGCUUAACACAUGCAAGUCGUACGCGAAAGGGACUUCGGUCCCGAGUAAAGUGGCGCACGGGUGAGUAACACGUGGAUAAUCUGCCUCUAUGAUGGGGAUAACAGUUGGAAACGACUGCUAAUACCGAAUACGCUCAUAAUGAACUUUGUGAGGAAAGGUGGCCUCUGCUUGCAAGCUAUCGCAUAGAGAUGAGUCCGCGUCCAUUAGCUAGUUGGUGGGGUAACGGCCUACCAAGGCAACGAUGGGUAGCCGAUCUGAGAGGAUGAUCGGCCACACUGGAACUGAAACNCGGUCCAGACUCCUACGGGAGGCA